GGCUUAACACAUGCAAGUCGAGGGGCAGCAUGGUCUUAGCUUGCUAAGGCUGAUGGCGACCGGCGCACGGGUGAGUAACACGUAUCCAACCUGCCGUCUACUCUUGGCCAGCCUUCUGAAAGGAAGAUUAAUCCAGGAUGGGAUCAUGAGUUCACAUGUCCGCAUGAUUAAAGGUAUUUUCCGGUAGACGAUGGGGAUGCGUUCCAUUAGAUAGUAGGCGGGGUAACGGCCCACCUAGUCAACGAUGGAUAGGGGUUCUGAGAGGAAGGUCCCCCACAUUGGAACUGAGACACGGUCCAAACUCCUACGGGAGGCAGCAGUGAGGAAUAUUGGUCAAUGGGCGAUGGCCUGAACCAGCCAAGUAGCGUGAAGGAUGACUGCCCUAUGGGUUGUAAACUUCUUUUAUAAAGGAAUAAAGUCGGGUAUGCAUACCCGUUUGCAUGUACUUUAUGAAUAAGGAUCGGCUAACUCCGUGCCAGCAGCCGCGGUAAUACGGAGGAUCCGAGCGUUAUCCGGAUUUAUUGGGUUUAAAGGGAGCGUAGAUGGAUGUUUAAGUCAGUUGUGAAAGUUUGCGGCUCAACCGUAAAAUUGCAGUUGAUACUGGAUGUCUUGAGUGCAGUUGAGGCAGGCGGAAUUCGUGGUGUAGCGGUGAAAUGCUUAGAUAUCACGAAGAACUCCGAUUGCGAAGGCAGCCUGCUAAGCUGCAACUGACAUUGAGGCUCGAAAGUGUGGGUAUCAAACAGG
Molecule: ribosomal RNA, 744 nt
Filed under: uncultured Bacteroidales bacterium
Lineage: Bacteria; Pseudomonadati; Bacteroidota; Bacteroidia; Bacteroidales
Description: bacterial SSU rRNA
Rfam family: Bacterial small subunit ribosomal RNA
Source: RNAcentral